CUCAAGUUGAAGGUCAUCGGCGUUAAGCGUGAUUAAAGUCCCCUUAGAUUAGGGCCAAAUUAAUACUUAGUCGUAUAAAACUUGCUAUUAAGAAGAACAUAAACGAAAGUUGCCCUAACCCUCACACUUGAAUACACGACAGCUGGGGGACAAACUGGGAUCAGAUACCCCACUAUGCCCAGCCGUAAACAAUUAAUCCACACCUAUAAGCGCCAGGGAAUUACGAGCCAUGCUUAAAACCCAAAGGAUUUGACGGUGUCCCACCCCACUAGAGGAGCCUGUUCUAUAAUCGAUAAUCCCCGCUACACCCGACCAUUUCUUGCUUAUCAGUCUGUAUACCUCCGUCGAAAGCUUACCGUGUGAACGCCCCCACAGUAGGUUUAAUGACCUCCGUCAAUACGUCAGGUCAAGGUGCAGCUUAAGAAAUGGGAAGUAAUGGGCUACAAUUUCUAACCUAGAACAAACGAAAGACUAUGUGAAACCCUAGUCACGAAGGCGGAUUUAGCAGUAAGAAGAAAAUAGAGUGUUCUUUUUAAUCUGGCUCUGGGACGCGUACACACCGCCCGUCACCCUCUUCGAUAGUGCUAACCAACAGUUCAUAACCUAUUCAUACGUCUUAGAAGAGGCAAGUCGUAACAUGGUAAGUGUACUGGAAAGUGCACUUGGUAUAUUA
Molecule: ribosomal RNA, 673 nt
Filed under: Odorrana lungshengensis (Lungshen odorous frog)
Lineage: Eukaryota; Metazoa; Chordata; Amphibia; Anura; Ranidae
Description: partial 12S ribosomal RNA
Rfam family: Bacterial small subunit ribosomal RNA
Source: RNAcentral